This 178-nucleotide non-coding RNA is filed under the name Oxobacter pfennigii. RNAcentral describes it as "6S / SsrS RNA". It matches the Rfam family "6S / SsrS RNA". Rfam says of the family: E. coli 6S RNA was the first non coding RNA to be sequenced, but its function was unknown until recently. It consists of 184 nucleotides that fold into an extended hairpin structure with a large single-stranded internal bulge. The record is from Rfam by way of RNAcentral. Lineage: Bacteria; Bacillati; Bacillota; Clostridia; Eubacteriales; Clostridiaceae.
GUCUUCCUGAGGUGCUCGAGUAACCUUGUAUGUUCAACCGACAGAAUGAAUACGGGAGUUCGGAGUUUUGUAUAUUAUGUCACGCCUGCUUGUACAGGAAGACAGAGGAUAUGAACAGGACACCCACCUGCUGUAAGGCGGGUAUGAACAUGCAGGAAAUCGGCAUCAUGGGACUAAA